This 20-nucleotide transfer RNA is filed under the name Xeronema callistemon. RNAcentral's name for it is "partial tRNA-Leu". The record is from RNAcentral. Lineage: Eukaryota; Viridiplantae; Streptophyta; Magnoliopsida; Asparagales; Xeronemataceae. RNAcentral also lists the same sequence under 2 other names.
GCCUUGAUGGUNAAAUGGUA